Molecule: transfer RNA, 22 nt
Filed under: Amazonetta brasiliensis
Lineage: Eukaryota; Metazoa; Chordata; Aves; Anseriformes; Anatidae
Also listed under: 1 other name
Description: partial tRNA-Phe
Source: RNAcentral
GUCCGCAUAGCUUAACACCAAA